Dicentrarchus labrax (European seabass) is the source of this 4200-nucleotide long non-coding RNA. RefSeq lists it as uncharacterized. NCBI's taxonomy places the organism in Eukaryota, Metazoa, Chordata, Actinopteri, Moronidae. The transcript has 2 exons. The record is from RefSeq and is a predicted model, not a curated record.
CGAGCGUGAAUCUCCAAUGUCCGACUGCACUGAAUGCAGCACGAGAUAACGUCAGAGCGGCCGGCAAGACACUGAUUGGUUGGAAACACUGAGUGGCGCGAAGCGAGGGAGCCAGGAGUCGCGAGGACAGGAGAGACGGGAGGAAAGAGCAGCUUUGCAAAAUAUGCAUAUUGAAUGAGACCAGGCUUGCUGUUACUCCAAAAUUCAUCAACAUUAGAUUUUCUUCACCUGUUAAAUAAAACCAGAGUCAGAGCUGCAACAAAACAUCUUUUAUUAAAACUCAAUAGUUUUACAACAUGCCUUCAGAACUCAAUUCGAAUCCCCAUAAAUGGUAUGGUAUUCAUUUCUCAAUUAUUAUUGAGAAAUGAAUAGCACUCUCCUAUCUGCCUGUUAAAUAUAAGGCUUCAGACAGAAACUGGUUAGCCUAAUUAAGCACAGACUGGAAACGGGGAAACAGCUAGCCUGGCUUGGUCCAAAAGUAACAAAAUCUGCCUACUAGCACCUUUAAAUCUCACUUUUAACCUUUUUACUGUGCGUUAUGUGCCUUUAAUGGACGUGGUAUCGAUCUUCUCAUCUAACUGUCCACCAGAUAGCGAAUAGGUCAGCUUUGCACUGCAGUGAACGGAGUCCAGAUGCAAAGCAUAUUUUAACCAGCUAAAACAAUCUAUAUCAGUUCUAGUGUACGUUGUAUAGAGAAAAUUCACACCGCUUUACAUCGCUGUCAGACGGCCCUUAUACCGUAUAACUCACGUAUUCCUUCGCAUAAGCGCAACUUUGCCCGCUGCGGCCGCACCGUAUUAUGCCGUAUGCGUAGGAAUACGUGAUGGGAAUUCCGGCUCUUUUUAGAGAACCGGUUCUUUUGGCUCGGCUCACUAAAAUGAGCCGGCUCUUUCGGCUCCCAAGUGGCUCCUCAGAUUUUUUGUUACUUAAAUGAAUUGAUUACAAAAUGAUGUGUAAAAUGAAUAUCUAAUGUAAAUACAUACAUUAUAUCAAAUGUUUAUUAUUUAUAUGGAUUUAUUAAUAUACUCAACAUGGAAUUUUAAAAUACAAAAACAAAGACCCAUCUCAAUUAGACAAAAAGCUGCUCAAUAUGACAUUUUUAACUAUGCAGUCUACACUCUGCCUUUGAAGCGUCUAUCACAUAUAUACAUAUAUGUCCAAACUUUACUACAUUUUCUGUCAUUCUCAUUUUCCUCACCUUUCCAGUGUGUAGUCUCUGUCUAUGUAGCAAGUUCUCUCGCUCUGUCACGUCUCCCUCCCACCUGUUCACAUGCUCACUGUGCCGUGUGUGUCUGUAACCCCUCCCGCCACCCUCCUGCUCCUCAGUGUAGAUACACAGACGCCGCCACACAUCUUGACCAAUCACGCAGCUUUAACAGAAAAAAAUGAGGAAAAACGGGGAAAAAAUCCGGAUCUGGCUCCCAAUCAGGAGCCGGCUCCCGUCGUUCACUUCAAAGAGCCGGAUCGUUCGGGACCGACCCAUCACUAGUAGGAAUACGUGAGUUAUACGGUUGAGAAAUGUAGUGCCAAAGGAAAGGGCCGUCUGACGGAGAUGUAAAGCGGUGUGAAUUUUCUCUAUACAACGUACACUAGAACUGAUAUAGAUUGUUUUAGGUGGUUAAAAUUCGCUUUGCAUCUGGACUCUGUUCACUGCAGUGCAAAGCUGAGCGUCUGUGCUGGAGCAGCUCUCUGCUUCUCCAAACUGAGGGAUCGCUGAGCAGCAGCUAAUGUAGCUAACACACCGACUAUAGAUAAGUACUUCAUAUGAGCCCAGUUCAAAAAACCCAAACUAUCCCUUUAACUCUAUCUAUCCGAGUUAGGGAUAUAAUGUGAAAAACGCCUGCUGUUGUUGCCGAUGUUCACCAUAUCUCUGGGGCUGGUGCUGGAAGAACAACAGAUUUUGCAGCUGCGCCGGCUAAAUCCAUUAUUCACACUAUAUCCCUAACUCGGAUAGAUAGAGAUAUGGUUGAAAAUCUGCAAAAUGUCCCUUUAAGAACAAUGUCCACUCAUAUAGUGGGGAAGACAAGAAUCCUCAUCUUUUGCAUAUGACUUACGCUCAAAGCCAUUCAAAGUCCAUGAAUGGCCUGAGGAGAGAGGAGACGUGAGGAUUGACUGAGCUGUUCUUCUUCUCAUGUAUCUUCCCACUUCUUUGGCUGACCAGCUUUGCUGUCUUGGUGCCACUGAUGGGGUUGAGUCCAAUGAAACAUCUGAAAUCACAAAAUCACAUGAAAAGAAACUUCAUGAAAAAACUGCGCUCACAGCUGCUCCACAAGAAAGAGCAGAAUAUCACGUUGUUCAAGACAAGCUCAUCAUUUGCCCAUCCAAUAUGAAAAACUGCAAAACAUGAAAAAACUAAAAUUAGGCUGUUAAUCAUUUUUCAUUAUCAUUUCAGUUGUGCUGUCCAGGCAAGCUGAACCAGGAAGUGGCUCUACAAUGCAAUGACUAAUACAGUGGAAAUGUCAUAACGGUUAAAGGGAUAGUUUGGAGUUCUUGUCAAAAGAUUGUAUGAGUUACUGACCAGUAGUAAUAUAAUUGCAUCAACAUAGCCUCAGGCAGCAGGUACUCUGGUUGGAGAUUUCCCGACUGCUUGCUCCUUGUACACCAGAUUCAGAUUCACUUUGCUAAAAUAAUGGGUAAUUACAGUCAAUAACACAAAUAAAACAUUGUUCUCACCACAGAGCUGACUUCGUGGCCGGUGUUUCUGACAUCAACUGUGCACGUGCUCCUCUUUCAAUUUAAUGCAAUCCCAUAUCAACAGUAUUUAACUGUAAUACGCAUCAUCUACAGUCAGAAUACAGCUCGCCUGUCAUUUUACAAUAUGUUACUGUGGGAAAAUGCUGUCAGCUACUGUCAUUAUUUUGGACCCAUGAUGCAUUGCCAUGUACAGUUAUACUUUGUAAAAUGACAGAACAAGAAGUUACUGUAAAAUUUGACUGUAGAAAUUACAACAAUGUGUUACAGUGUAGUUGCAAUGCUGAUUUUGAGAUGAUAAAAAUCAGGUUGAAGAACGUUAUUUCGCUAACUGUACAUGUAAUGUUAGCUAGGUCUGACGUUAGUUCUGUGUAAAAUAGGCUACAAAAGCUAAUAUUGAUUCAACGUCUGUCAACGAAAACAUUGUUAAGUUACUUUGAAUUUUACAGAAAUGAAGAGGAAAGGUAGCAUAGAAAGGUUUUUCUCACCAAGUACUAGACAGAAAAAAGGGGGAAAAGGAGAGUCCUACCACUCUAAUGGAGUUCACUCAGUUUUUGAAACCAUACGAGGAUGUUUUUUAUGAGUUGUUCAGCUUGUGUAAAAUAGCGGUUGUUUUACCUGUGAGCAGUGCAUCCUGUGAACAAAGUUUUUCAUCUCUCAGGCUCAUAAAGACUUAUUUACGGUCUACUAUGACAGAAAAGAGACUAUCGAGUUUGGCUGUACUCAGCAUUGAAUCAAAACGCACAAAAGCAUUAGAUCUAGAUACAUUUGUGAAGCGGUUUGCUGAGCAACAUGGAAAUCGCCGCAUUCAGCUGUUAUAGGAAUGACAACUUCAUGUUAUGCUCACUGGUGAGCCUUUACAAAGCUGUUAAAAUGAUGACCUCAACAGAAUCUGCACUUUAAAUUUCUGUGUGUGUGUGUGUGUGAAAGAAAAGUUUCAAAUGUGACACUGGUGUAAAUGGUGUAAACAAAAUGUCUAAAAAUUGUUCAAGCUACUGAGGGACAAAUGGGGAGAAUGUGUGUUCUGAGUAAACAAUAAAAGUCAUGUCCAGUACCUUGUUUGAGUGCCGUGACCCAUUUAUUUCCACAGUGUAUUUAUGCUCACCUUAGUACAGCUCAGUCCAUAGAUCUUCAUGGGUAAGUAUUUCUUUGGAUAGUUUCUUCUGGUACAAAUGCUGCCUGCAACGCUGCCUCUCUGACACAAUCAAAAACUGUUUGCUUCCCCUCUGAUACAUCUGCCACUCAUCACCUGUGUUUUACCUUAAUGCCUUUCCUGUGAUAAUGCCCCACCUACAGUAGUGUUACCAUACUUCUAUCUCCUAUUAAGUGAGAUCACAUUGUAUGGUCACUUCUUCCUAAUAUGAACUGUUUCACAUGAAACCUCAAAUGCAAGACAUUGAUUGCAUGAGAUUAAGUUUGUCUGUAUGAGUUUGUAAAUGGCAGCCCGUGCCCUUUUGUAGUGUGUACAUACUAUUUGUCAUCAAACUGUGAUUAAAUUCAGUAUAUAUA